This 301-nucleotide ribosomal RNA is filed under the name uncultured bacterium. Its description in RNAcentral is "partial 16S ribosomal RNA". It matches the Rfam family "Archaeal small subunit ribosomal RNA", at positions 459 to 760 of the family's 1478-position model. The record is from RNAcentral.
CAGUCGCCACGGUAACACCAGCACCUCGAGUGGUCAGGAGGUUUAUUGGGCCUAAAGCAUCCGUAGCCGGUUGCAUAAGUUUUCGGUUAAAUCUAUGCGCUUAACGUAUAGGCCGCCGAAAAUACUGUGCAGCUAGGGAGUGGGAGAGGUACACGGUACUCGAUAGGAAGGGGUAAAAUCCUUUGAUCUAUUGAUGACCACCUGUGGCGAAGGCGGUGUACCAGAACACGUUCGACGGUGAGGGAUGAAAGCUGGGGGAGCAAACCGGAUUAGAUACCCCCGUAGUCCCUGUCUCUUAUAC